UUGAGAUGCUGUCGACCAGGGCUGUUCUCUCAGUUACAAGUUCAUCUUGCUCCGCUGUCUAACAGGAACAGACUGACUCUACAGGAUCUCCGCUAGUACGUCAUUACUGAAUUACAGGGCUACAUUAGCAUCCAGACUAUUUGCAUAGUAUGUUUGCAGUUAUGGAAGAUAAGUGAUUUGGAUCGUGGCAGCAGCUUAUGUUUACUGAUCCUAAAGUGAACCCUUAGUGAACCUACACUUAAAUAUUCAGGAAUGGGAUAAGCUGCAAGGUCCUGAUGAUGUUUGUCUCACAAUCUUUUGCUGCUUGAGGCGGCAGCUGGUAUAUGGGAGCUUGGCUAUUUCUUGUAUUUCCUCACAAGCCAGCCCCCUGAUGACGUUUGCGGUCCAUCUGUACAUCCUGAAAACGG
Molecule: long non-coding RNA, 407 nt
Organism: Hyla sarda
Lineage: Eukaryota; Metazoa; Chordata; Amphibia; Anura; Hylidae
Exons: 3
Source: RefSeq, a predicted model, not a curated record